GGUUUUUAGAUUUAAUUAAAAAUCAAGCCUGCUCAAUGCUAAGUAAAUAGCCGCAGAAUUUUAACUGUGCAAAGGUAGCAUAAUCACUUGUCUUUUAAUUGAAGACUAGAAUGAAAGGUUUAACUAUGUAAUUUUGUCUUAUAGUAAUAUUUUGAACUUAAUUUUUUAGUAAAAAAGCUAAAAUCCAUCUUAAAGACGAGAAGACCCUAUUAAGCUUUACAAUUUAACAUUAUUCUCAAAUUAAUUAAAAAAUUGUUCUGCUGGGGCAGCAAAUAAAAAAAUAUUAUCUAAAUAUUGUGAUAAAUAAAUCUAGAAAAAUCAAUAAUUUAUUAAAAAAUAAUAAGUUACUAUAGGGAUAACAGCAUAAUUUUUUUAAAGAGUUCUCAUCAACAAAAAAGUUUGUGACCUCGAUGUUGGAUUAAGAAUCCUAUUUCACGCAGUAGUAGAAAAAGGAAGUCUGUUCGACUUUUAAAUUCUUCCA
This 481-nucleotide ribosomal RNA is filed under the name Paruroctonus variabilis. RNAcentral's name for it is "partial 16S ribosomal RNA". It matches the Rfam family "Bacterial large subunit ribosomal RNA", at positions 1888 to 2600 of the family's 2925-position model. Lineage: Eukaryota; Metazoa; Arthropoda; Arachnida; Scorpiones; Vaejovidae. The record is from RNAcentral.